This 1136-nucleotide long non-coding RNA is filed under the name Homo sapiens (human). RNAcentral describes it as "long intergenic non-protein coding RNA 2436". Lineage: Eukaryota; Metazoa; Chordata; Mammalia; Primates; Hominidae. The record is from RNAcentral.
AUAACUGUGGGAGAAUAGUAAGCAUUGGACACAAAAUGGUUUAGGCAAAUAAUGAUGAACAAAAAUGGUCAGUCUGUGUUCCUGCUGACCCAGCACAGUGGGGACGCUGUGUAGGACAUGACCUUUGGGGGAAAGGACACAAGAACUCAGCGUGGGGGAUCCAGAAAAGAAGUCGCACGUAUUGAAGCCAGUAACGCCAAGCCAGUGAAUUCUCCUUGACGAGAAAGACCCACUUACUCUGCAGAAGAGAUAUAUGACAGCUGACAAUCCCUGGAGGAGAAUCUUUCUACUAAAUUGGUAAGGGAUGCUAAGCAAAUGAUGUGGACUCAGGAAACAACGCAUUUCAUGAUAUACGGUUGCCUCUCAAGGUGAAUUCGAGACCCCUCUUGAAUUACAAAGAGUUGAAAACAUUCAAGUACGGAAUAAACUAUUACUGCGAAUACGCUCAUAUGACACAAGAACAAUCUCUGAGCUUCUUUGAGGAUGUCCAGAUGACUGCUGACUGCACUAAUUGCAUCAAUCGUGUAUCCAUACAGGCCUGCCACAAGAAUACGAAGGCCAGAGCUCCAGCAGCUGUUGGAGCCACGAUGUGACCCUGAAGGCAGGAAACUCAGCUUUGGAAGUAACUCCAGGUUGAAGAACUUCUACUUAUAGGCAUCUAUUCAACGAAGACGAAUCCUGGAAUGGGGAUGGAAAUGAUGGCUCAUGUCUUAGCAAACUACCAGUACGUCUACUAGAACCGGAACUGAUCCGAGAGGACAGGGAAGUCAGUGUGGGCGGCUCUAAGGAGCCUCCCUCUCUACAGCUGCGGCUCAGAGGAUUACGGCGCUUCAUCCACAAGGCAACAUUGCACAAGUAGCUUUUGAACAAAAGUCAUGGAUACUAUUAAUGAUAUGGUAAUCCUUAAUCGAGCUACCUCCCAGUAGUGAUUAUACUGACAUGGGAAGAAUAUCUAAGUCGUGGAGGCAGCCCACAACAACACUGUGUCAUUGUUCACCCCGGGCUCGACCAGGACUAACUUUUACCAGCAUCUCUAACGUCACCUUUCCCCUGAUGCCUCCCCACAACCCCUGGCCCCAGCUCCCAUUCCCGCCCCAUCAUAGCAAAAAAGUAGCAAAGAAAACCCUGAUCCUAAA